GAAAUUACUUGAAAGUGGUUGGAAAAAAGAGAAAAACAGAAGGAAUCUGCAAGAGAGAAAAAAAAAAUCAAAAUUGACAAGUUGCAAGUUGGAGUCGAAGCAGGGAAUUGCUUUUAUAAAUCUUCAUUAUAUAAGGGUACCAAGUUGGAGAAAUGAUAGGUGUUGGGGUGAGUAUGAGAUGGACUUGAGAAUGAUUUGGUUGAGGGAAGUCUUUGAGGAAAAAUGGAGAACUUAUCUACAUCUAUUUCAAUUUUGUUGGUUUGAGUUUAAAUUGAUUUUACUAGG
This 285-nucleotide long non-coding RNA is filed under the name Carica papaya (papaya). RNAcentral describes it as "long non-coding RNA (CPAP_LNC006608)". The record is from RNAcentral. Lineage: Eukaryota; Viridiplantae; Streptophyta; Magnoliopsida; Brassicales; Caricaceae.